AACCCCUAUAGACAUGGUUACUAGUAUUUUCUUGUUUUUACCUGGUAUUAUUAUUUCCGACACCCCUUGAACACACUUUGAUUUUCCGUAGUUCAGUGAAUGCAACAAAAGCACGUUGCUGCAUUAAGCUAGGCAAAACGGAGCAAGACACCGAGAGCAAAUAACAAGCUACACAAGGCCUUUAUGUGUUUUACUCUCGACCAAAACCAGGCAGAGCGUGUAUUUGUUUCUUGGGAAUUCCGACUGGUUUUUUGUGAUCCUGGAUCUGAAGUGGUUCUGGAUAUGGAUGGCGAGCCAGACCCUGUGAAAACUCUUGGCGAAUCCAAAAGCAGUGUGGCCAGCUGUUCUGGAUGCAGGAGUAGAGCUACAGUCUGAAUUACUUCGAAUCGCAGGAUUUCAGAUAAGCAAGAACAAAAAACUGCUUACUUGAUACGGAUUGUUUCUCUGGGAAACUAUUGAACUCCCAAUAUCCUGCUCAUCAGGAGUCAGGUCUAAAGAGACUACUUAUUUUAUUUUAUUUUGUUGUUAUUUUCAAAAGAGCGCUCUUCUCUGUUGAUCUUCUGUUAAUUUUCUAUGCUGUUUACAUUGGAUUAUUGCACCACUGUAACAUUGUAAUAAAUCUGCCGGCUGUUCAACACUCAGUUCUCUCAAAUUUAUUUUACUCCUCUCGAAUCUAGUCUAUAAGUUUAACCCUACUAUACUAAGCAGGUGUUACACCUUGUU
Astatotilapia calliptera (eastern happy) is the source of this 723-nucleotide long non-coding RNA. The record is from Ensembl. NCBI's taxonomy places the organism in Eukaryota, Metazoa, Chordata, Actinopteri, Cichliformes, Cichlidae.